AGCGGAGGAAAAGAACUAACAAAGGAUUCCCCUAGUAACUGCGAGUGAAGCGGGAAAAGCUCAAAUUUAAAAUCUGGCGGUCUUUUGGCUGUCCGAGUUGUAAUCUAGAGAAGUGUUAUCCGCGCUGGACCGUGUACAAGUCUCCUGGAAUGGAGCAUCAUAGAGGGUGAGAAUCCCGUCUUUGACAUGGACUGCCAGGGCUUUGUGAUGCGCUCUCGAAGAGUCGAGUUGUUUGGGAAUGCAGCUCAAAAUGGGUGGUAAAUUCCAUCUAAAGCUAAAUAUUGGCGAGAGACCGAUAGCGAACAAGUACCGUGAGGGAAAGAUGAAAAGAACUUUGGAAAGAGAGUUAAACAGUACGUGAAAUUGCUGAAAGGGAAACGCUUGAAGUCAGUCGCGUCAUCCAGGGAUCAACCUUGCUUUUGCUUGGUGCACUUCCUGGUUUGAUGGGUCAGCAUCAAUUUUGACCGUUGGAAAAAGGCUGAGGGAAUGUGGCAUCUUUGGAUGUGUUAUAGCCCUCUGUCACAUACAAUGGUUGGGAUUGAGGAACUCAGCACGCCGCAAGGCCGGGUUUUAAACCACGUACGUGCUUAGGAUGCUGGCAAUAUGGCUUUAAUCGACCCGUCUUGAAACACGGACCAAGGAGUCUAACAUGCCUGCGAGUGUUUGGGUGGAAAACCCGAGCGCGUAAUGAAAGUGAAAAGUUGAGAUCCCUGUCGUGGGGAGCAUCGACGCCCGGACCAGACCUUUUGUGACGGUUCCGCGGUAGAGCAUGUAUGUUGGGACCCGAAAGAUGGUGAACUAUGCCUGAAUAGGGUGAAUCCAGAGGAAACUCUGGUGGAGGCUCGUAGCGAUUCUGACGUGCAAAUCGAUCGUCAAAUUUGGGUAUAGGGGCGAAAGACUAAUCGAAUCAUCUAGUAGCUGG
This 922-nucleotide ribosomal RNA is filed under the name Cortinarius vernus. Its description in RNAcentral is "partial large subunit ribosomal RNA". It matches the Rfam family "Eukaryotic large subunit ribosomal RNA", at positions 49 to 954 of the family's 3401-position model. Lineage: Eukaryota; Fungi; Basidiomycota; Agaricomycetes; Agaricales; Cortinariaceae. The record is from RNAcentral.